Molecule: ribosomal RNA, 956 nt
Filed under: Bacillus licheniformis
Lineage: Bacteria; Bacillati; Bacillota; Bacilli; Caryophanales; Bacillaceae
Description: bacterial SSU rRNA
Rfam family: Bacterial small subunit ribosomal RNA
Source: RNAcentral
UCCGCAUGGCGCUGCUAUAAUGCAAGUCGAGCGGACAGAUGGGAGCUUGCUCCCUGAUGUUAGCGGCGGACGGGUGAGUAACACGUGGGUAACCUGCCUGUAAGACUGGGAUAACUCCGGGAAACCGGGGCUAAUACCGGAUGCUUGAUUGAACCGCAUGGUUCAAUUAUAAAAGGUGGCUUUUAGCUACCACUUACAGAUGGACCCGCGGCGCAUUAGCUAGUUGGUGAGGUAACGGCUCACCAAGGCAACGAUGCGUAGCCGACCUGAGAGGGUGAUCGGCCACACUGGGACUGAGACACGGCCCAGACUCCUACGGGAGGCAGCAGUAGGGAAUCUUCCGCAAUGGACGAAAGUCUGACGGAGCAACGCCGCGUGAGUGAUGAAGGUUUUCGGAUCGUAAAACUCUGUUGUUAGGGAAGAACAAGUACCGUUCGAAUAGGGCGGUACCUUGACGGUACCUAACCAGAAAGCCACGGCUAACUACGUGCCAGCAGCCGCGGUAAUACGUAGGUGGCAAGCGUUGUCCGGAAUUAUUGGGCGUAAAGCGCGCGCAGGCGGUUUCUUAAGUCUGAUGUGAAAGCCCCCGGCUCAACCGGGGAGGGUCAUUGGAAACUGGGGAACUUGAGUGCAGAAGAGGAGAGUGGAAUUCCACGUGUAGCGGUGAAAUGCGUAGAGAUGUGGAGGAACACCAGUGGCGAAGGCGACUCUCUGGUCUGUAACUGACGCUGAGGCGCGAAAGCGUGGGGAGCGAACAGGAUUAGAUACCCUGGUAGUCCACGCCGUAAACGAUGAGUGCUAAGUGUUAGAGGGUUUCCGCCCUUUAGUGCUGCAGCAAACGCAUUAAGCACUCCGCCUGGGGGAGUACGGUCGCAAGACUGAAACUCAAAGGAAUUGACGGGGGCCCGCCCAAGCGGUGGAAGCAUGUGGUUUAUUCAAAGCAACGCGAAAAAACU